UGGGGAAUAUUGCACAAUGGGCGCAAGCCUGAUGCAGCCAUGCCGCGUGUGUGAAGAAGGCCUUCGGGUUGUAAAGCACUUUCAGCGAGGAGGAAGGGUAGUGUGUUAAUAGCACAUUGCAUUGACGUUACUCGCAGAAGAAGCACCGGCUAACUCCGUGCCAGCAGCCGCGGUAAUACGGAGGGUGCAAGCGUUAAUCGGAAUUACUGGGCGUAAAGCGCACGCAGGCGGUUUGUUAAGUCAGAUGUGAAAUCCCCGCGCUUAACGUGGGAACUGCAUUUGAAACUGGCAAGCUAGAGUCUUGUAGAGGUGGGUAGAAUUCCAGGUGUAGCGGUGAAAUGCGUAGAGAUCUGGAGGAAUACCGGUGGCGAAGGCGGCCCCCUGGACAAAGACUGACGCUCAGGUGCGAAAGCGUGGGGAGCAAACA
RNAcentral lists this ribosomal RNA (427 nucleotides) under uncultured bacterium. RNAcentral's name for it is "partial 16S ribosomal RNA". It matches the Rfam family "Bacterial small subunit ribosomal RNA", at positions 355 to 774 of the family's 1533-position model. The record is from RNAcentral.